GGUUAAGCGACUAAGCGUACACGGUGGAUGCCCUGGCAGUCAGAGGCGAUGAAGGACGUGCUAAUCUGCGAAAAGCGUCGGUAAGGUGAUAUGAACCGUUAUAACCGGCGAUGUCCGAAUGGGGAAACCCAGUGUGUUUCGACACACUAUCAUUAACUGAAUCCAUAGGUUAAUGAGGCGAACCGGGGGAACUGAAACAUCUAAGUACCCCGAGGAAAAGAAAUCAACCGAGAUUCCCCCAGUAGCGGCGAGCGAACGGGGAGGAGCCCAGAGCCUGAAUCAGUGUGUGUGUUAGUGGAAGCGUCUGGAAAGGCGCGCGAUACAGGGUGACAGCCCCGUACACAAAAAUGCACAUGCUGUGAGCUCGAUGAGUAGGGCGGGACACGUGGUAUCCUGUCUGAAUAUGGGGGGACCAUCCUCCAAGGCUAAAUACUCCUGACUGACCGAUAGUGAACCAGUACCGUGAGGGAAAGGCGAAAAGAACCCCGGCGAGGGGAGUGAAAAAGAACCUGAAACCGUGUACGUACAAGCAGUGGGAGCCCUGAUUUAUCAGGGUGACUGCGUACCUUUUGUAUAAUGGGUCAGCGACUUAUAUUCUGUAGCAAGGUUAACCGAAUAGGGGAGCCGGAGGGAAACCGAGUCUUAACUGGGCGUUAAGUUGCAGGGUAUAGACCCGAAACCCGGUGAUCUAGCCAUGGGCAGGUUGAAGGUUGGGUAACACUAACUGGAGGACCGAACCGACUAAUGUUGAAAAAUUAGCGGAUGACUUGUGGCUGGGGGUGAAAGGCCAAUCAAACCGGGAGAUAGCUGGUUCUCCCCGAAAGCUAUUUAGGUAGCGCCUCGUGAAUUCAUCUCCGGGGGUAGAGCACUGUUUCGGCAAGGGGGUCAUCCCGACUUACCAACCCGAUGCAAACUGCGAAUACCGGAGAAUGUUAUCACGGGAGACACACGGCGGGUGCUAACGUCCGUCGUGAAGAGGGAAACAACCCAGACCGCCAGCUAAGGUCCCAAAGUCAUGGUUAAGUGGGAAACGAUGUGGGAAGGCCCAGACAGCCAGGAUGUUGGCUUAGAAGCAGCCAUCAUUUAAAGAAAGCGUAAUAGCUCACUGGUCGAGUCGGCCUGCGCGGAAGAUGUAACGGGGCUAAACCAUGCACCGAAGCUGCGGCAGCGACACUGUGUGUUGUUGGGUAGGGGAGCGUUCUGUAAGCCUGCGAAGGUGUGCUGUGAGGUAUGCUGGAGGUAUCAGAAGUGCGAAUGCUGACAUAAGUAACGAUAAAGCGGGUGAAAAGCCCGCUCGCCGGAAGACCAAGGGUUCCUGUCCAACGUUAAUCGGGGCAGGGUGAGUCGACCCCUAAGGCGAGGCCGAAAGGCGUAGUCGAUGGGAAACAGGUUAAUAUUCCUGUACUUGGUGUUACUGCGAAGGGGGGACGGAGAAGGCUAUGUUGGCCGGGCGACGGUUGUCCCGGUUUAAGCGUGUAGGCUGGUUUUCCAGGCAAAUCCGGAAAAUCAAGGCUGAGGCGUGAUGACGAGGCACUACGGUGCUGAAGCGACAAAUGCCCUGCUUCCAGGAAAAGCCUCUAAGCAUCAGGUAACAUCAAAUCGUACCCCAAACCGACACAGGUGGUCAGGUAGAGAAUACCAAGGCGCUUGAGAGAACUCGGGUGAAGGAACUAGGCAAAAUGGUGCCGUAACUUCGGGAGAAGGCACGCUGAUAUGUAGGUGAAGCGACUUGCUCGUGGAGCUGAAAUCAGUCGAAGAUACCAGCUGGCUGCAACUGUUUAUUAAAAACACAGCACUGUGCAAACACGAAAGUGGACGUAUACGGUGUGACGCCUGCCCGGUGCCGGAAGGUUAAUUGAUGGGGUCAGCGCAAGCGAAGCUCUUGAUCGAAGCCCCGGUAAACGGCGGCCGUAACUAUAACGGUCCUAAGGUAGCGAAAUUCCUUGUCGGGUAAGUUCCGACCUGCACGAAUGGCGUAAUGAUGGCCAGGCUGUCUCCACCCGAGACUCAGUGAAAUUGAACUCGCUGUGAAGAUGCAGUGUACCCGCGGCAAGACGGAAAGACCCCGUGAACCUUUACUAUAGCUUGACACUGAACACUGGUCCUUGAUGUGUAGGAUAGGUGGGAGGCUUUGAAGUGUGGACGCCAGUCUGCAUGGAGCCGUCCUUGAAAUACCACCCUUUAAUGGCUGGUGUUCUAACGUGGGCCCGUAAUCCGGGUUGCGGACAGUGUCUGGUGGGUAGUUUGACUGGGGCGGUCUCCUCCUAAAGAGUAACGGAGGAGCACGAAGGUUGGCUAAUCCUGGUCGGACAUCAGGAGGUUAGUGCAAUGGCAUAAGCCAGCUUGACUGCGAGCGUGACGGCGCGAGCAGGUGCGAAAGCAGGUCAUAGUGAUCCGGUGGUUCUGAAUGGAAGGGCCAUCGCUCAACGGAUAAAAGGUACUCCGGGGAUAACAGGCUGAUACCGCCCAAGAGUUCAUAUCGACGGCGGUGUUUGGCACCUCGAUGUCGGCUCAUCACAUCCUGGGGCUGAAGUAGGUCCCAAGGGUAUGGCUGUUCGCCAUUUAAAGUGGUACGCGAGCUGGGUUUAGAACGUCGUGAGACAGUUCGGUCCCUAUCUGCCGUGGGCGCUGGAGAACUGAGGGGGGCUGCUCCUAGUACGAGAGGACCGGAGUGGACGCAUCACUGGUGUUCGGGUUGUCAUGCCAAUGGCACUGCCCGGUAGAGCUAAAUGCGGAAGAGAUAAGUGCUGAAAGCAUCUAAGCACGAAACUUGCCCCGAGAUGAGUUCUCCCUGAGACUUAGAGUCUCCUGAAGGAACGUUGAAGACGACGACGUUGAUAGGCCGGGUGUGUAAGCGCAGCGAUGCGUUGAGCUAACCGGUACUAAUGAACCGUGAGGCUUAACCUU
RNAcentral lists this ribosomal RNA (2907 nucleotides) under Escherichia albertii. Its description in RNAcentral is "23S ribosomal RNA". It matches the Rfam family "Bacterial large subunit ribosomal RNA". Lineage: Bacteria; Pseudomonadati; Pseudomonadota; Gammaproteobacteria; Enterobacterales; Enterobacteriaceae. The record is from RNAcentral.